AGAGCGAACGCUGGCGGCAGGCCUAACACAUGCAAGUCGAGCGCGUGUAGCAAUACACGAGCGGCAGACGGGAGAGUAACACGUGGGAACGCGCCCUUCGGUUCGGAAUAACUCAGGGAAACUUGAGCUAAUACCGGAUACGCCCUUACGGGGAAAGAUUUAUCGCCGAAGGAACGGCCCGCGUCGGAUUAGCUAGUUGGUGAGGUAACGGCUCACCAAGGCGACGAUCCGUAGCUGGUCUAAGAGGAUGAUCAGCCUCACUGGGACUGAGACACGGCCCAGACUCCUACGGGAGGCAGCAGUGGGGAAUAUGGACAAUGGGCGCAAGCCUGAUCCAGCCAUGCCGCGUGGAUGAUGAAGGCCUUAGGGUUGUAAAGUCCUUUCAGCGGGGAAGAUAAUGACGGUACCGCAGAAGAACGCCCGCUAACUUCGUGCCAGCAGCCGC
RNAcentral lists this ribosomal RNA (445 nucleotides) under uncultured bacterium. RNAcentral describes it as "SSU rRNA". It matches the Rfam family "Bacterial small subunit ribosomal RNA", at positions 26 to 518 of the family's 1533-position model. The record is from RNAcentral.